GACGAACGCUGGCGGCGUGCUUAACACAUGCAAGUCGAGCGGAAAGGCCCUUCGGGGUACUCGAGCGGCGAACGGGUGAGUAACACGUGAGUAACCUGCCCCAGACUUUGGGAUAACCCUCGGAAACGGGGGCUAAUACCGGAUACGACACAGCUUCGCAUGGGGUCUGUGUGGAAAGUUUUUCGGUUUGGGAUGGGCUCGCGGCCUAUCAGCUUGUUGGUGGGGUGAUGGCCUACCAAGGCGACGACGGGUAGCCGGCCUGAGAGGGCGACCGGCCACACGGGGACUGAGACACGGCCCAGACUCCUACGGGAGGCAGCAGUGGGGAAUAUUGCACAAUGGGCGGAAGCCUGAGGCAGCGACGCCGCGUGAGGGAGGACGGCCUUCGGGUUGGAAACCUCUUUCAGCAGGGACGAAGCGUAAGGGACGGGACCUGCAGAAGAAGCGCCGGCCAACUACGG
This 461-nucleotide ribosomal RNA is filed under the name uncultured bacterium. RNAcentral describes it as "partial 16S ribosomal RNA". It matches the Rfam family "Bacterial small subunit ribosomal RNA", at positions 28 to 506 of the family's 1533-position model. The record is from RNAcentral.